Molecule: ribosomal RNA, 497 nt
Filed under: uncultured bacterium
Lineage: Bacteria
Description: partial 16S ribosomal RNA
Rfam family: Bacterial small subunit ribosomal RNA
Source: RNAcentral
GAUGAACGCUGGCGGCGUGCCUAAUACAUGCAAGUCGAGCGAACGGACGAGAAGCUUGCUUCUCUGAUGUUAGCGGCGGACGGGUGAGUAACACGUGGAUAACCUACCUAUAAGACUGGGAUAACUUCGUGAAACCGGAGCUAAUACCGGAUAAUAUUUUGAACCGCAUGGUUCAAAAGUGAAAGACGGUCUUGCUGUCACUUAUAGAUGGAUCCGCGCUGCAUUAGCUAGUUGGUAAGGUAACGGCUUACCAAGGCAACGAUGCAUAGCCGACCUGAGAGGGUGAUCGGCCACACUGGAACUGAGACACGGUCCAGACUCCUACGGGAGGCAGCAGUAGGGAAUAUUCCGCAAUGGGCGAAAGCCUGACGGAGCAACGCCGCGUGAGUGAUGAAGGUCUUCGGAUCGUAAAACUCUGUUAUUAGGGAAGAACAUAUGUGUAAGUAACUGUGCACAUCUUGACGGUACCUAAUCAGAAAGCCACGGCUAACUACGUG